Molecule: unclassified non-coding RNA, 210 nt
Filed under: Hevea brasiliensis (rubber tree)
Lineage: Eukaryota; Viridiplantae; Streptophyta; Magnoliopsida; Malpighiales; Euphorbiaceae
Source: RNAcentral
GCCAUGCUGAGUGAGGACGCAAAGGACAUUGAAGUUGAUUCUGAUGAUUGUAGAACGACUGUUGUCGAGCAGUCAGGCACUCUACAAAACUCUAAUGAGAUUGUACCUGUCUCCGACUCAACGGAUGAGAAGGUGGCAGCUGGAGGCCGAAGCCCAUCGAAGAGAAGCUUAGCUGAGUGCAUUUCAAGUGAAGAGGAGGAAUGGUCUGCA